RNAcentral lists this ribosomal RNA (2893 nucleotides) under Shigella flexneri. Its description in RNAcentral is "bacterial LSU rRNA". It matches the Rfam family "Bacterial large subunit ribosomal RNA". The record is from RNAcentral. Lineage: Bacteria; Pseudomonadati; Pseudomonadota; Gammaproteobacteria; Enterobacterales; Enterobacteriaceae.
ACUAAGCGUACACGGUGGAUGCCCUGGCAGUCAGAGGCGAUGAAGGACGUGCUAAUCUGCGAUAAGCGUCGGUAAGGUGAUAUGAACCGUUAUAACCGGCGAUUUCCGAAUGGGGAAACCCAGUGUGAUUCGUCACACUAUCAUUAACUGAAUCCAUAGGUUAAUGAGGCGAACCGGGGGAACUGAAACAUCUAAGUACCCCGAGGAAAAGAAAUCAACCGAGAUUCCCCCAGUAGCGGCGAGCGAACGGGGAGCAGCCCAGAGCCUGAAUCAGUGUGUGUGUUAGUGGAAGCGUCUGGAAAGGCGCGCGAUACAGGGUGACAGCCCCGUACACAAAAAUGCACAUGCUGUGAGCUCGAUGAGUAGGGCGGGACACGUGGUAUCCUGUCUGAAUAUGGGGGGACCAUCCUCCAAGGCUAAAUACUCCUGACUGACCGAUAGUGAACCAGUACCGUGAGGGAAAGGCGAAAAGAACCCCGGCGAGGGGAGUGAAAAAGAACCUGAAACCGUGUACGUACAAGCAGUGGGAGCACGCUUAGGCGUGUGACUGCGUACCUUUUGUAUAAUGGGUCAGCGACUUAUAUUCUGUAGCAAGGUUAACCGAAUAGGGGAGCCGAAGGGAAACCGAGUCUUAACUGGGCGUUAAGUUGCAGGGUAUAGACCCGAAACCCGGUGAUCUAGCCAUGGGCAGGUUGAAGGUUGGGUAACACUAACUGGAGGACCGAACCGACUAAUGUUGAAAAAUUAGCGGAUGACUUGUGGCUGGGGGUGAAAGGCCAAUCAAACCGGGAGAUAGCUGGUUCUCCCCGAAAGCUAUUUAGGUAGCGCCUCGUGAAUUCAUCUCCGGGGGUAGAGCACUGUUUCGGCAAGGGGGUCAUCCCGACUUACCAACCCGAUGCAAACUGCGAAUACCGGAGAAUGUUAUCACGGGAGACACACGGCGGGUGCUAACGUCCGUCGUGAAGAGGGAAACAACCCAGACCGCCAGCUAAGGUCCCAAAGUCAUGGUUAAGUGGGAAACGAUGUGGGAAGGCCCAGACAGCCAGGAUGUUGGCUUAGAAGCAGCCAUCAUUUAAAGAAAGCGUAAUAGCUCACUGGUCGAGUCGGCCUGCGCGGAAGAUGUAACGGGGCUAAACCAUGCACCGAAGCUGCGGCAGCGACGCUUAUGCGUUGUUGGGUAGGGGAGCGUUCUGUAAGCCUGUGAAGGUGUACUGUGAGGUAUGCUGGAGGUAUCAGAAGUGCGAAUGCUGACAUAAGUAACGAUAAAGUGGGUGAAAAGCCCGCUCGCCGGAAGACCAAGGGUUCCUGUCCAACGUUAAUCGGGGCAGGGUGAGUCGACCCCUAAGGCAAGGCCGAAAGGCGUAGUCGAUGGGAAACAGGUUAAUAUUCCUGUACUUGGUGUUACUGCGAAGGGGGGACGGAGAAGGCUAUGUUGGCCGGGCGACGGUUGUCCCGGUUUAAGCGUGUAGGCUGGUUUUCCAGGCAAAUCCGGAAAAUCAAGGCCGAGGCGUGAUGACGAGGCACUACGGUGCUGAAGCAACAAAUGCCCUGCUUCCAGGAAAAGCCUCUAAGCAUCAGGUAACAUCAAAUCGUACCCCAAACCGACACAGGUGGUCAGGUAGAGAAUACCAAGGCGCUUGAGAGAACUCGGGUGAAGGAACUAGGCAAAAUGGUGCCGUAACUUCGGGAGAAGGCACGCUGAUACGUAGGUGAAGCGACUUGCUCGUGGAGCUGAAAUCAGUCGAAGAUACCAGCUGGCUGCAACUGUUUAUUAAAAACACAGCACUGUGCAAACACGAAAGUGGACGUAUACGGUGUGACGCCUGCCCGGUGCCGGAAGGUUAAUUGAUGGGGUUAGCGCAAGCGAAGCUCUUGAUCGAAGCCCCGGUAAACGGCGGCCGUAACUAUAACGGUCCUAAGGUAGCGAAAUUCCUUGUCGGGUAAGUUCCGACCUGCACGAAUGGCGUAAUGAUGGCCAGGCUGUCUCCACCCGAGACUCAGUGAAAUUGAACUCGCUGUGAAGAUGCAGUGUACCCGCGGCAAGACGGAAAGACCCCGUGAACCUUUACUAUAGCUUGACACUGAACAUUGAGCCUUGAUGUGUAGGAUAGGUGGGAGGCUUUGAAGUGUGGACGCCAGUCUGCAUGGAGCCGACCUUGAAAUACCACCCUUUAAUGUUUGAUGUUCUAACGUGGACCCGUGAUCCGGGUUGCGGACAGUGUCUGGUGGGUAGUUUGACUGGGGCGGUCUCCUCCUAAAGAGUAACGGAGGAGCACGAAGGUUGGCUAAUCCUGGUCGGACAUCAGGAGGUUAGUGCAAUGGCAUAAGCCAGCUUGACUGCGAGCGUGACGGCGCGAGCAGGUGCGAAAGCAGGUCAUAGUGAUCCGGUGGUUCUGAAUGGAAGGGCCAUCGCUCAACGGAUAAAAGGUACUCCGGGGAUAACAGGCUGAUACCGCCCAAGAGUUCAUAUCGACGGCGGUGUUUGGCACCUCGAUGUCGGCUCAUCACAUCCUGGGGCUGAAGUAGGUCCCAAGGGUAUGGCUGUUCGCCAUUUAAAGUGGUACGCGAGCUGGGUUUAGAACGUCGUGAGACAGUUCGGUCCCUAUCUGCCGUGGGCGCUGGAGAACUGAGGGGGGCUGCUCCUAGUACGAGAGGACCGGAGUGGACGCAUCACUGGUGUUCGGGUUGUCAUGCCAAUGGCACUGCCCGGUAGCUAAAUGCGGAAGAGAUAAGUGCUGAAAGCAUCUAAGCACGAAACUUGCCCCGAGAUGAGUUCUCCCUGACCCUUUAAGGGUCCUGAAGGAACGUUGAAGACGACGACGUUGAUAGGCCGGGUGUGUAAGCGCAGCGAUGCGUUGAGCUAACCGGUACUAAUGAACCGUGAGGCUUAACC